RNAcentral lists this ribosomal RNA (256 nucleotides) under uncultured bacterium. RNAcentral's name for it is "partial 16S ribosomal RNA". It matches the Rfam family "Bacterial small subunit ribosomal RNA", at positions 524 to 776 of the family's 1533-position model. The record is from RNAcentral.
UACGUAGGGUGCAAGCGUUAAUCGGAAUUACUGGGCGUAAAGCGUGCGCAGGCGGUUGUGCAAGAACCGAUGUGAAAUCCCCCGGGCUCAACCUGGGAACUGCAUUUGUGACUGCAUAGCUAGAGUACGGUAGAGGGGGAUGGAAUUCCGCGUGUAGCAGUGAAAUGCGUAGAUAUGCGGAGGAACACCGAUGGCGAAGGCAAUCCCCUGGACCUGUGACUGACGCUCAUGCACGAAAGCGUGGGGAGCAAACAGG